RNAcentral lists this ribosomal RNA (320 nucleotides) under uncultured eukaryote. Its description in RNAcentral is "partial 18S ribosomal RNA". It matches the Rfam family "Eukaryotic small subunit ribosomal RNA", at positions 1470 to 1796 of the family's 1831-position model. The record is from RNAcentral.
CCCUUAGAUGUUCUGGGCCGCACGCGCGCUACACUGACGAAUGCAACGAGCUUAUAACCUUGGCCGAAAGGUCUGGGUAAUCUCCAAAUUUCGUCGUGAUGGGGAUAGAUUAUUGCAAUUAUUAAUCUUCAACGAGGAAUGCCUAGUAAACGCAAGUCAUCAGCUUGCAUUGAUUACGUCCCUGCCCUUUGUACACACCGCCCGUCGCACCUACCGAUUGAAUGGUCCGGUGAAAUCUCGGGACGGCGGCUCGGUCGCUUGCGUCCGACUGCUGAAACUUGAUUAAACCAUNUNAUUUAUNGGAAGGUGAANUCGUANCA